GCGGGAACACCGGCGGCCCGAGUGGUGAUCGUGAUUAUUGGGUCUAAAGGGUCCGUAGCCGGUUUGGUCAGUCCUCCGGGAAAUCUGAUAGCUCAACUAUUAGGCUUUCGGGGGAUACUGCCAGACUUGGAACCGGGAGAGGUAAGAGGUACUACAGGGGUAGGAGUGAAAUCUUGUAAUCCCUGUGGGACCACCUGUGGCGAAGGCGUCUUACCAGAACGGGUUCGACGGUGAGGGACGAAAGCUGGGGGCACGAACCGGAUUAGAUACCCGGGUAGUCCCAGCCGUAAACGAUGCUCGCUAGGUGUCAGGCAUGGCGCGACCGUGUCUGGUGCCGCAGGGAAGCCGUGAAGCGAGCCACCUGGGAAGUACGGCCGCAAGGCUGAAACUUAAAGGAAUUGGCGGGGAGCACAACAAACGGGUGGAGCCUGCGGUUUAAUUGGACUCAACGCCGGACAACUCACCGGGGGCGACGGCAAUAUGUAGGCCAAGCUGAAGACUUUGCCUGAAUCGCUGAGGGGAGGUGCAUGG
Molecule: ribosomal RNA, 531 nt
Filed under: uncultured archaeon
Lineage: Archaea
Description: bacterial SSU rRNA
Rfam family: Archaeal small subunit ribosomal RNA
Source: RNAcentral